This 85-nucleotide ribozyme is filed under the name unclassified sequences. RNAcentral describes it as "Twister_sister_ribozyme". It matches the Rfam family "Twister_sister_ribozyme". The record is from Rfam by way of RNAcentral.
ACAGCCCGCAAGGCCGACGCAUAACGCGCCGCCGGUGCAAGCCCGGCCCCGUUCCCACCAGGACGGGGGCGCUCAUGGGUCAAAA